UGCGACAAAAUGUGAAUCUUAGCGAAUAGAAGUUCAGCUGUGCCAUUGUGGAAGGGACGCGGUUCCAUGGCAUGAAGUUGUUAGUUUGGUGCCAGGUAUUAAAUCAGAAAAUUUCUUGCUGUAAGGGACUUGAGAUUUGAAAUUGAUGCAGUGAGGGCACUUCGUGAUGUCAACUAGAAACACAGUACUUUUAUGUGGAUUGUAGCAAGAGAGUUGGUGAUGGAAUAACAUUGACUUCAGAUUGGUCAUGGACUGUGCACAGUGUCUUAGAAACGGGAGAGAUUCAGCAGUAACGAGUAAUGCAAAGUAAGUGAUAUUUUUAGGAAAUAAGUUGUUUGAGAAUUCUUAUUAAUUUUGGGUUAUCUCUUCCAAGUCUGUUAUUUCCUGCGGUGCAGUCUGGAAGCAUUUGUGCUCCCACUGUUCUUGACAGGUAGGCCUGCUCUGGAUGACUGAACAUGUCUCUGUUGACCUGCUGCAUCAUAGUGGAUGGACAUUCUUCCAGUGUUUGUGUAAUAAUUCUCAUGAAAUUUUGUACUGACAUUCUGCCAUAAGUGAUUGCUGUAAAAACAUUUUCUAAAUUCCUGCACACAUUAGUACUGUAAUGGGGUAUAUUUUGUGGAGAUGGUUGGUCCUACUAGUGUUGGUAAUGUGGCUUGGAAUGGAGAAGGCAAAUCAAUGAGGAUGUUGUCGUCAGCUUAAACUUAUUCAGCGGUAAUGGAAUUCCUUCAAGAAAGCUACAGAUUGUUCCCUAAGACUACACCAUUUAUUUCUGUGUCUAGGUACUUCACGUAUCAGUUCCAUCAGUAAUGAACACUUGAUUCAUAAUUUAGGUUAGUUCACUUUCUACUCGACAAAGGUUGGGUUACGCAAAUUUUGAAAGAUUUACUGAAGUGCCCUUAUUUGACUUGGAGCCAUUGCCUCAGUGCUUACCUGCAAUCAAUAGCCUGAUCAGUGUCCCAUUGCCCGUGGCUUUAAUGAUCUCUUAACUUCUUGACAGUUUCAGCGUUUCUGACCGUGGUGUUUCCCAGUUCUCUCCUGAACUUUUUUCGUUGACCUUUCCAAUUUUUAUGCUGAUUGCUUAAUGGUCAUGUCCGCAUUUCUGCUAAUUGUUUUUUGUAUUCCCCUUAGUGAAAUGUGAGCUAGUCUCUGCUGUUUUCCUCAAUGCCGGGAAAUGACAUUUGCACAUUCAUACAAUUUAUCACAAUUCUAAUAACUGCUAUACUUAAUUCUAUGCUACUUAAAAUCUUUAUAUUCUUAAUUUUUCAUCAUAACUAAAAUUAAUUCUCCAUAGUACCAAUGAAAUGCUUGCUGAAAAUCAUGAGGUGUGAUGGUGUGGUGGUCAUUGUUGUAGCACACAUUACUAUGUAAACAAACCCUGACCAGUGGAAACUUGUCAAAACAUGUGAAAUCCUGUGCUCUCAUGACCAAGCAUGUCUAUAUCUUGAAAUGUGAGCAAACCCUAGUAAACCUGUCAAAACUGAAACAUGGUGCCAUAGCAGUUUCAUGUAAUCUUACCCUAAAUGAUGAUACUCCACCCAACCACAGCUAAAACAUCAGAAAUGAAACAUUUUUAAAACUAAAGAGAUUCAGAGCUCAUGAGGAUUUUCAGGUUUUAAAUAUUUUAAAAAUUAUGAAUGUUAGUGAAAUUGUUGAUUCAGAAAUUUUCAGUUUUUUCAGAAUAUCAAAUUUUUCGAAAAUCAUGAUCACUUUUCAAAUUUUAAAAACAUUUUCAGCAUUUAAUUCUUUUUAGAUAUUUGAAAUUUUGAGAUAUUUAAGGAAAUGAAAUUUAAGUAUAUUCUGAAUGUUCAGGGAUUGUGAGUAGAGUGGCGCUAUGUAUAUCCUGUUUCAUAUUUUAUAUAUCUGUGACUAGAAUGUUUGCAACCACAUGACGUGCUAAUUUCAGUAAAGCGUCUGUGAUCCUAGGAAUGCAGAUUAUGAUUCAUGUGAUAGAUUUUGUGUUCGUUAAGUUUGCGACCGUGUCUUAGUGAAGAUGCUUCAGGUCAUGUGACGUAGAAUUUAGUUUGUAUGUAGUAUGGCGCAGUGUGUUGUCGCUUCCUUGUGUUUGCUGGCUGCAAGUGUUUCAUUUUAAUAGAAUAUACUUCAUUCAUGCAGUGUGGACCGGAAUAAUCAGUGAACAUUGAAACCAUCGACAAACACGGUUGGUUGUGCUCAGAGCUGUAGUGUUUAAUACGUGUGUUUCUUCAUAUUAAUACAUAAUACGUGGUGAUGGUGGAAUGGCUGAUUUAUGAAAGCAACUUGCAUUUUCAUAGAACCAGUCUUUUUCGCUGUCAAUGUAAGCCCUUUCAAGUAAUUCAUUAUUCUGUGCAGUGACCUGAUUUAUGAAUAACAGCUGUUAUAAAUUCUUUUCUAAUUGUGAAAACACGUCACCUGAGUAUGGUUAACGUCAAGUUACAGCCACAUAAUACCCAAGCAAGUCGUUUUAAUACGUGCAUUAACAGUAGAAUAAAUUAAUUUCACAUGACGCUCCGUAGUGUGACGCCAAAUUUUACGCUUGUGUCACGAAGCCAAAAGCAUGACGUUUUCCUACGCGAUAACGUAAUAUAACUUAA
Non-coding RNA from Zootermopsis nevadensis, 2570 nucleotides. NCBI's taxonomy places the organism in Eukaryota, Metazoa, Arthropoda, Insecta, Blattodea, Termopsidae. The record is from RefSeq and is a predicted model, not a curated record.